GGUUGAUUGAUUGGGAAGAUGUUGAUGUCCUUGAUAGUAUGUAGAUUUGGAAGAGAGAAAGUUUUAUAAACUUGGAAGAGGGAGUUGAAACACUGUUUCCAGUUUUGGCCAUGUUGAGUUAUCAAAUUCAAGAUGUGCAAAAAGUAAUUGGAGAUGCAAAAGUGGAAAUCAGGAGAGUUUAGACCUAGGUAAGUAUAUCUGAGUCAUGAGUAAGAAUUCAGCUUUGAUAUGGGGCUAAGACUCAUCUUCUGCAAAUGAAAUUCAUUCCCUCAUUCAUCCUUGGUUCCUCUCCCAUAGAAUACUGAUUUCCUAAAAAGAAACAUGUUCUGAGAUCACUUGGUUGGACUCUUCAGAGACCUAUUUCUCUUUGCCAAGCUACCCCAUUAGAAUUUUAUUCUAUUGGCUUUGUUUUGCUUCUACACAUGAAGAUAUUUGGAAGACCUUAGACUUUUGUGUGGGUCCCAUAGGAAAAUUCUAACAUCUUUCCAUUCCUUCACCCUUUCAUGCUUCCUUUUAUUUUUCCCUCUUAUUUCUUAAUAGAGAUCAAAAUGUUCUGAAAAGAUUAACUACAUCUGAUGGGAAAUCUUGUCCCAUGAUUGGAUUUGUAGAAGAGGAAAAUCAAAGUGCCUCCACCAGUCAGCCUCCAAAUGGUACUUAAUUGACUGCACAUGCAAAUAUGCUGGCCAGAGUUGGAAGAAAAAUUAAAUAUCUCCAGGAAGUUUUCAAAGAAUAAAAAUUGCCAUCACUGAUGACAGAGCCCCUAGGACUGCUCAGAUGAUUUUACUUCUUGACCAGAGUUUUAGUAGUUGUUUGAACAACUAUGCAAAAGCUGGCAAGAAAAAAGUCAAGAUACCUGGCAAUGGCCAAGGAUGAAGUGGAUGACCUUGGCAUCUCUGAUGUCCGACCAAGCUCCAAGUAAUCUACAGUACUUGCUUCAACCACUUUCAUGACUUAGCUAUGUCACUUGACACAUUAUACCCAUGAAGCCUAGAAAACACAAAUAGGAUGACCAUUUUUAUUCCAAUGUAAAAUUAUAAUAAAAAUUUUGAGCCA
RNAcentral lists this long non-coding RNA (1053 nucleotides) under Monodelphis domestica (gray short-tailed opossum). Its description in RNAcentral is "lncRNA (ENSMODG00000050923.1)". The record is from RNAcentral. Lineage: Eukaryota; Metazoa; Chordata; Mammalia; Didelphimorphia; Didelphidae.